GUGUGGAGUCCUCUGGCUGUGUUAGCGUUUUAGAUCCAGAUAGUGGUGAUGGAACAGCCGCUGCUCAAGCUGUUGAGUAAAGUGGGUUGCUCUGUUCUUGGAGUGGAUUCUUGUAACGGUGUAUUCAGCUGAGCUCUGAGUUUUUGUGUUUCGACUGAUGAAAGCUGUGUUUUUGUGUUAACCUACGGGGAGACUCGUAGAUUGCUGGGCACAGAUCACACUUCCAAGUUGUAACUUUACAGUAGGGAUGUUCUAACUCAAAAAAAUUUCAGGCAAGAGAGAUCCAUGCAUUUACAUAUUUUAGGAGGAAGCUGAGAAGUAUAAAAGGACACAGGAGGUUAGGAUGUAAGUGUACUUCUGUUAAAGCCCUAAAAUCUUUUAAUUUCGGAGAGGUCAUCAGUUGCAUGCUGCCAACAGUGUAUAACAGUUCAAGUUCUUUAGCUUUAUUUAUUUAUUUUUUUACAGUUGUUUCCCUGCUUAGGACCUGUGUGGGGAUGUGUGGAAGGAUGUUGUCCGAAGGGAACCUGUCUUCAGCAGAGAAGACCAUGAAUCCCUGGAGACAAGAGCCAGUGGGAUGUGCAUUUUAGGUGUGCCCAGUACCUGGGUUUUCUUUGGAAGCAGCAUAAUCCACCUUGCACAAAGGCAUCCUUAGUUUCUAUUUUAGUAGUGACUGAUGCAGGUUUAUUUCAUGCCCUGGAUCCAUGGCUUUUAAGAUUAUCCUAAGGAAGGCAUUGUUCAGAAGCAUUUGGAAGAAGCAAACAGCCAAGAGGAGAAGACUGAGCCAACGACUGGAUUAGGGAAGGGAGCAGGCAGGACUGAGGCACCUACAGCUGGGAGAAAGAGGCUGACAGCAAUCGGAACCAGUGAUCUGGAGCAGAGGAAGGACAUGGCUGGUGGAAUCUGGCAACUGAUCCAGGGACAGAAGCUAGCCAUGCAUUAACUAUGCCACGUAAAGAAGUUUUGAACGACUAAAGAAAAACCUUGUAUCCAGAAAAACUGUUUAUAGCAUCAUUUGUCCAGACUAUAAAUUAAGAAAUCCAAGUUAACAUCUAGACCUUUAAAAAGCAAAAAGAAACAAAAACAUCCCCAUUUCUGCUACAUCUCCAGGUGAUAACAGUAUGUUGUCAACUAAAUCAAUGUAAAUGAGUGCUGAAUUCAGUGUUUUCUCACUUAGCUGUGAAGUAUUGAGUGUUUCUUCAGUGGCAUUUUAUUCAAAGGUACCAGCUGGAAAGGAGGAGGAGAAGCUGUGGCUCCAGAGACUCACUGUCAGCUGUUCCAUGCAGCACCACUGACUGCUAGAUCCUGCUUUGGGGCAUUCAUCGUACAUGUGGCUUCUGAGGGCUUCCUGUGCUCCCAUUAUCCUAUUAUUUUUUUCUCCUUUUGUGAGUUCACCAGAUGACUGAAUGCACAAGGUUAAUAUUGAACUCAGUGAGUCCUUAGAUGGAACUGCUACAACCUGAUGGAAAGUCAUAUUUCUUUUUUUGAAGAUGGGAUAACCUAGUAGUGCCAAUGGCUGUUUGCACAUACGGAAAAAAAAAGGUGAGUCUGUAAGAUCUGAUAACGUUCUCUGUUCCCAGUAUCUUGCAAUAAAUGCCAUAAAAAACCCA
Molecule: long non-coding RNA, 1607 nt
Organism: Anser brachyrhynchus (Pink-footed goose)
Lineage: Eukaryota; Metazoa; Chordata; Aves; Anseriformes; Anatidae
Source: Ensembl